GGGCCACGCCUUCCCCCAGAGCGUUAUUGUUUGACAGCUCAAAAUUAUAAACUGAAACACAAAAAGAAAGAAAUGCUGAACAAGCCUCAGUUGACAUUAUCUGCUACUUUCAAGACGACUUCAACUGGAGGACUAACUAAACCACUCACCAGUCCACUGCUGCAAUCACUAGCUACACCAACUAAUCAAAAGUCACUCUCACUCACGAACAUGCCCAAGUUAUGAACUCUUAAUGUUUUCAUUGAAAUUAUACAAUUUAAUGAUAUUACCAGCCACACCAAUACAAGUACCAGAG
Amphimedon queenslandica is the source of this 295-nucleotide long non-coding RNA. RefSeq lists it as uncharacterized. The record is from RefSeq and is a predicted model, not a curated record. NCBI's taxonomy places the organism in Eukaryota, Metazoa, Porifera, Demospongiae, Haplosclerida, Niphatidae. The transcript is spliced from 3 exons.